GACGAACGCUGGCGGCGUGCCUAAUACAUGCAAGUUGAGCGCUGAAGGUUGGUACUUGUACCAACUGGAUGAGCAGCGAACGGGUGAGUAACGCGUGGGGAAUCUGCCUUUGAGCGGGGGACAACAUUUGGAAACGAAUGCUAAUACCGCAUAAAAACUUUAAACACAAGUUUUAAGUUUGAAAGAUGCAAUUGCAUCGCUCAAAGAUGAUCCCGCGUUGUAUUAGCUAGUUGGUGAGGUAAAGGCUCACCAAGGCGAUGAUACAUAGCCGACCUGAGAGGGUGAUCGGCCACAUUGGGACUGAGACACGGCCCAAACUCCUACGGGAGGCAGCAGUAGGGAAUCUUCGGCAAUGGACGAAAGUCUGACCGAGCAACGCCGCGUGAGUGAAGAAGGUUUUCGGAUCGUAAAACUCUGUUGGUAGAGAAGAACGUUGGUGAGGGUGGAAAGCUCAUCAAGUGACGGUAACUACCCAGAAAGGGACGGCUAACUACGUG
RNAcentral lists this ribosomal RNA (497 nucleotides) under uncultured bacterium. RNAcentral describes it as "partial 16S ribosomal RNA". It matches the Rfam family "Bacterial small subunit ribosomal RNA", at positions 28 to 507 of the family's 1533-position model. The record is from RNAcentral.